This 853-nucleotide long non-coding RNA is filed under the name Canis lupus familiaris (dog). Its description in RNAcentral is "lncRNA (ENSCAFG00030017143.1)". The record is from RNAcentral. Lineage: Eukaryota; Metazoa; Chordata; Mammalia; Carnivora; Canidae.
AUCAGCUGCUGGAGGUGUCGGUGGCGAAACAAGGAGGAAAUGACAAUCAGGCACUCCCAGUUCAGCUCAGGGCAGGAUUCUCUCCUCCCUGCCUCCCCACUCUGCUGCUUUCCCCAGGAGAUUGAGUGACGCGCCUCUACGCUUUCCCUUGGCCUCCCUCACAGCAAAAGGAGCCAAUAGGAAGAGGGACUCUGUGCUGUUAUGUGAAGCUAAGUGACGACAUCUCGCCCCGGAGCAAGAGGAGGACGGUGAGGGAAGCCGGAGGGGGAGAUGGGGCCUCUGCCUCCGUGCCCCCUCGACAGCCAUCCCCAGGAGGUGGAGUCGAUGACGCUGGGGCCCUCCCAUCCAGCCACGGUCUCCCACUGUGAGCAAAGGGAUGUCCCCCCCAACCCCAGUCUAUACCCGGGAUUCCUGUCACAGGAAGUGGGUGUGUAUGCAUGCCCGUGCAAGCACGCAUGUUUGCACACGCCAGCACAGGGCCGAGGCAUCAGGGAUGUCAAUCUCUUCACGUCUCCGUGGGAGCUGAAGGCAGCCAGCACACAUCCUCUUUCACCCAGAGCAAACCCGGGGCCCGGAGAACUCAUCCGCGCUGCCUUUCACCACUUUAUCCCCAGUGGGAUCAGAAAUGGGAUUUGCUAUCAGUCCCAGGUGGGGCUUCUCCGGCAGGGCUUCCUAUCGUCCUUGUCCUUGCUGCUCCUGCCCAGAGGGGUAGGUGUGCUACCAGCAGACCCCCGAGACCCCAAGGGAUGGCCUGUGACUGCCUCCAACCCAGCCCAGCUCCUCUCCCGGCCCUGGUGUCGGACCACACUGCCUUGUUACACCGGGACGAGGGGUUUCUGCUGCCUUUUUUUUC